Molecule: ribosomal RNA, 403 nt
Filed under: bacterium
Lineage: Bacteria
Also listed under: 2 other names
Description: partial 16S ribosomal RNA
Rfam family: Bacterial small subunit ribosomal RNA
Source: RNAcentral
UGGGGAAUAUUGCACAAUGGAGGGAACUCUGAUGCAGCGACGCCGCGUGAACGAAGAAGGCUUUCGAGUCGUAAAGUUCUUUUAUAUGGGAAGAUAAUGACGGUACCAUAAGAAAAAGCCCCGGCUAACUACGUGCCAGCAGCCGCGGUAAUACGUAGGGGGCUAGCGUUGUCCGGAAUCACUGGGCGUAAAGGGUUCGCAGGCGGAAAUGCAAGUCAGGUGUAAAAGGCAGUAGCUUAACUACUGUAAGCAUUUGAAACUGCAUAUCUUGAGAAGAGUAGAGGUAAGUGGAAUUUUUAGUGUAUCGGUGAAAUGCGUAGAUAUUAAAAAGAAUACCGGUGGCGAAGGCGACUUACUGGGCUCAUUCUGACGCUGAGGAACGAAAGCGUGGGUAGCAAACAGG